CUACGGAGGAUGCGAGCGUUAUCCGGAUUUAUUAGGUUUAAAGGGUGUGUAGGCGGUAUUUUAAGUCAGUGGUGAAAUCUUUCAGCUUAACUGAGAAACUGCCAUUGAUACUGGAAUACUUGAGUAUAGUUGAGGUAGGCGGAAUAUGUAAUGUAGCGGUGAAAUGCAUAGAUAUUACAUAGAACACCGAUUGCGAAGGCAGCUUACUAAACUAUUACUGACGCUGAUGCACGAAAGCGUGGGGAGCGAACAGGAUUAGAAACCCUAGUAGUCC
RNAcentral lists this ribosomal RNA (274 nucleotides) under uncultured bacterium. RNAcentral's name for it is "partial 16S ribosomal RNA". It matches the Rfam family "Bacterial small subunit ribosomal RNA", at positions 523 to 796 of the family's 1533-position model. The record is from RNAcentral.